Non-coding RNA from Ovis aries (sheep), 104 nucleotides. NCBI's taxonomy places the organism in Eukaryota, Metazoa, Chordata, Mammalia, Artiodactyla, Bovidae. The record is from Rfam.
AUCGACGGCUGUACCAUCCUGAAAGCAUCCCAUCUCAUCUGACCUUGGAAGUUAAGCAGGGUUGGGCCUGGUUAGUCUUUGGAUGGAAGAAGUGACACCAGAUC